Molecule: long non-coding RNA, 6876 nt
Organism: Malaclemys terrapin pileata
Lineage: Eukaryota; Metazoa; Chordata; Testudines; Emydidae
Exons: 2
Source: RefSeq, a predicted model, not a curated record
UAUUAGGGCAAAGAAAAGAAUUGAGGAAAUGUGUAACCUCUAUUUUUCAUGCCCUUCAUAACAACCACUGGCAUAAUGAUCCAUUUAUGUUUCCUUUUUUUACUCUGUACAGAUAUAGCAGGUAUUUUCUUUCUUAUGUAUCAUUUAACCAAAACAGACGAGCUGUUGACUGGCAUGAUUAGCCUGUGGAACUCAUUACCACAAAGAUGAUAUUGAGGCCAAGAAUUUAGUAGGAUUCAAGAAGGAAUUAAUCAUUUAUAAGUGGAAUGGUAACUGUGACGGGUUGGAUCACAGAAAACCCCUUGGGAACUGCCAACUGAUGUGCUGAGACUACACCUGAGCCUGUUUCCCCUGGCAGCUUGGGACUUCAGUGCCCUGCCUGGUUUGAGCUAGACACGCUAGCCUGCUACAAACACAGACCCAGGUCUGAACCACGUCUCCUAAAAGCUGCAGGCUUAACUGAAAACAGCUUAAGAAGUUUUCCUGUCUCUAACACUCAGAUGCCCAGCUCCCAAUGGAGUCCAAACUCCAAAUAAAUCCGUUUUACCCUGUAUAAAGCUUAUACAGGGUAAAUGCAUAAAUUGUUCACCCUCUAUAACACUGAUAGAGAGAUGUACACAGCUGUUUGCCCCCCUAGGUGUUAAUGCAUUCUCUGGGUUAAUUAAUAAGUAAUAAGUGAUUUUAUUAAAUACGAAGAGUGGGAUUUAAGUGGUUCCAAGUAAUAACAGACAGAGCAAAGUAAGUUACCAAACAAAAUAAAAUAAAACACGCAAGUCUAACCCUAAUACAGUAACACAAUGAUUACAGAUGAAAUCUUACCCUCAGAGAUGUUCCAAUAAGCUUCUUGCAGACUAGUCUCCUUCUAGUCUGGGUCCAGCAAUCACUCACACCCCCGUGGUUACUGUUCUUUGUUCCAGUUUCUUUCAGGUAUCCUUUGGGGCUGGAGAGGCUAUCUCUUGAGCCAGUUGAAAACAAAAUGGAGGGGUCUCCCGGGGUUUAAAUAGACUUUCUCUUGUGGGUGGACACCCCUCCCUCCCCCUGUGUAGAAUCCCAGCUACAAGAUGGAGUUUUGGAGUCACAUGGGCAAGUCACAUGUCCACGCAUGACUCAGAACUUACAGGUAGCAGCUAUGGUUCACAUACUACCUUGAACGUCCUCAAGUAGACUUCUUAUGUGGAUUGGAGUCUUCCAAGAUCCAUUGUCUGUUAAGUGUUUCUUGACUGAUCACUUAACUUGCACAUUCCUUUCUCAAGAAGCUGACCAAAUGUUUUACUAAGGCUACAUAAAAUCAAGCAAGUACACAGCCAAUAUUCAUAACUUAGAGUACAAAAAUGAUACAUGCAUACAAAUAGGAGGAAUAUAUUCAGUAGAUCAUAACCUUUGCAGAGAUAUGUUACAUGGCAUAUGUAGCAUAAUUAUGUCAUAUUUACUUUCAUAAGCAUAUUUCCAUAAAGCCUUAUGAGGCUCAACGUCACAGUAACAUCCACGGUAAUGUUAAAGAUGAUUAUAAAGGGAUAUAUACCUUCAUAUUUUAGUGCAUAAGCCAAUCACUAACUGAUGAGGUGAAGAAGAAACUUCCCCUCUGGAUUCGCUUUGAAUCAGGGAAGAAAGGAGGUGGUGAAUCAGGCCCUUCGCCGUUUCUUCUUUUGUUAUUUCCUGUGAUGGUGGAAAUAAUGUGACAAAUGUUGCCUGAUCUGGUGGUUGCAUAUUAAAUUACAUUGAUCGAUUAGAAAUCCCAAUGAACACCCUGUGGUUUGACACAAUCUCUCCUGAUGGAGAGAUCUCUUUAAUGGAUGAAACUUAACUGCUGUUUGUUGGGACUGUACAGUUGCUGUUUUCCAGAAAUGCACGUAGAUUGUCAGCAGGUAUGGGGCUUUGCAGAAAUGAUUUUCCAUAAAUAUAUGGCAUUUCUGGUCAGUGCUGUAUAUAAAUGAAAAGAACCUGAUCAACUAUACUAUAAUAAAAACACAUCUGGCACCAACUACAUUUAAACUUCUCUGCCACUGACUUGCCGUGUGGGCUUGGGAAAGUCAUUUAAGCUCUUUGCUUCCAUUGCUGUAUCUGGAAAAUGGGGAUAAUAAUACUGACUUAGCGCACAAGAAUUAGCUAACGUGUAAAGCACUUUGUAGAUAUUUAAAGCAGUGUGUAAGGUUAAAGGGUUUUUUUAUUAUUAACCAUAUUAUUUAAACUUGGUUGUAAGGUCUGUGUAGAUGUGGCUGUAUAACGGGAGGAAAAACAGGUGUCCAGAUGGGCAUGUACAGAGAUGACUCCUUUGGUGAAAUACUGAAGUGAGCUAACAAGGGUUUCUAAUGGAUCAGUGUGAAGCUGGAAAAUUCCAUUCCUUUACAAACUAUCUUUUCACCUGGAAAUCCAGAAAAGGCAGUUCUAUUUUAAGCCCUCUCUUCCUCCCCUUGUUAAAGGUGGUACUAAUCUCAUCAGCUUCCUUUUUCAUUCUCUUGCCUUAGUGCAGGGAGCUGGAGUUCAUGACUUCUUGAAGUCCCUUCCAGCCCUACAUUUCUAUGAUCCUACAACCCAUGAUAUUUAAAAAUUUGCAUGACCAAGCUGGGAGGGGUUGCUAACACUUGGAGGACAACAUUAGAAUUCAAAACAACCUUGACAAAUUGGAGACUUUGGGCAGAAAACAUUUCUUCAGCAUUUAUUUCUCUACUUAAAAUAGGACAUAAUUAGUUAACUACAUAUUUCAGACACCAUGCCAUAGUGACCAUUAAUAGAUGUUCAUUUUUUAAAUGGUGACCUCUACAUCUAUAUACUGUGUCAGUCUUUUUAAUACAGAAAUAUGAUAUUCAUAGCCAAAUCAAACAGGACUUACUCAGUCCAAACUCAGGUAAAUCUCCUAAGGAACAGUCCUACACUGGCCGGGAGAUGGUCUAGAUGAUUUCUUAGGACUUUUGCGAUCAUCUCCAUCUUCUAUGGCUCUAUGAUAAUGGGAGAUUUUCCCCAAGGAAUAACUGAACAAUGGCUGUAAGGUUUGGCCCCAUGAGAAUACAUUUAUCAGCAUGUAUUUUCAACGUGUUACGCCUCCCACCUCAGUACAAAUGUUUAAAAAAUGUGGAUGCACCACAGCAUCCAACCAGAAGAGGGAGCACUAUGUUAUGCUGGAGACAACCUGAGUGAGGUCACAGGAGACCAGAAAGCCAACGGGAAUGGAGGGACCAAUUUCCUUCUUUCUCCCCCUUUCUCUCUCUCUCAUUCUCAGCAGGUGCCAUUUGCUCUUCUGCAGAGGGCCAGCAUGAGCAAGCACCCUUAUGUCUUGUUGACCCUCACAGAGAUGUAAGUGGUGCAUAGGCUUUGUGCUGACCCACUGCUGUGGGAUGAAUCUUCUACUUUGUGAACUAGCCCGAAAUUAAAGGGCCUGAUCCUGGGAAACCCUAUAGUCCUUAUCCUUGUAAGCCACCCCAUUGAUUUAACUGAGGCUGCACUGCCGAGAAAGGGCUUCUCACUUGACUACCAGGUCCAGAGAAAGGAAAGGGGUUGCUGAGACAGCCUGUCAAUAUGUGGCAUUCUGCCACAAGUCAGAAAUAGGCUGUAGUGCAAACCUGGGCACGCUGUACAAAGAUCGUUCACCCCCAUUAUAGCCAAAGGCUGUCUUAUACUUGCAGGUGUUAAAUUGGGUGACGCUGAGCCACUUUGCCAUGUGAAUCAUAGAAUAUCAGGGUUGGAACGACCUCAGGAGGUCAUCUAGUCCAACCCCCUGAUCAAAGCAGGACCAAUCCCCAAUUUAUAUAAUAUAAUAUAGGCCCAAUCCUUCAAUCUUACUCAUAUGAGUAAUCCUUGUUCACAUGUGUUAUCCCACUGACUAGUUGUGUGAUUAAGGAUUAUUUACACAACAACAGUUGCAGGAACGUGCCUGGAAAUUAUUGAAUUGAAUUGGUCUGAUGUCUUCCUCCAAAUGCUGUGGGUAUAUCAGAGGUCUAGAUAAGAUAAGAACCUUCCUUUUCUCGACAUUCUCCUUCAGUGUAUUGGGCACUUUCCUUGUCGUAGUUCGAAGAGUUGGAGUUUACCCUUUUUAAGAACUGGAUAAACAUCUGGUGCACUUAUGUUGUCCUACACACCACUUACUAUAACUGGCACCACUGAAAGGACACUUGCUUCCAUUUCACAUCUGCGCAACAUCGUUACUGUACUUCUCAAUGCCAUAAAUAACAUCUUUGUGUGUAGGUUAAAGUGAUUAUAGUUAUUAUGUGGUAGGUUUAAGAAAAUGAUUCAUUCCGAUUCAUUCAUUGCCAAGUAGGUUUGCAAAAAUGUGAACAAAACCUAUUUUUAAAAGGGAAGUGAAUCCAUGCCGCAUUGAUAUUCUCCAGUGAGCUGGUUUUGGAGAGCAGUAGAAUAAAGGCAUUUGCUGAGAGGCAUCACUAUUAGGCCCGAAGGCAUAUACCGUAUGCUAUCCACCAACUAUGUUGAAUUAUCACAAAGUGUUUCCUACCGUUGAGGUAGAUUCUGGGCACCUUUAAAUCUGUAUUUUCUAGUCAUGAGUAAAUUGGUUCUGAGUGGUGGUAGUGGUGAAUCAGCCUUAGCCACCUUCUAAAGCACAAACCAAACUGACUCUGAAGCUUAAAAAGGUUGGAUGACUUUUUUAUUAUAAUGCAUCUUUGCUCUUCUUCCUGGAUCUGCCUCUGGGAGCAGAGACCUUGUAAUGCUAUGGGAAAAGCUGUUCCCAUUAUCUUCGCAGCCAGAAAUCUCUCAAGACAAUUUAUUUUCAACUCUGUGUUGCAGAGUCAGGAGGAAGAUGCUUUGGAAAAGCAUUUGAAGUGUUAUGGCAUCAAACCUCAAAUUUUUUGAGAUUUGUCCAUCACUAGUAAAGACAGUUGAAAUUUUCAUUCAUUAUAAUCAUCUUAAAGAACCCUAGCUAAUGCUGCUCUGUAUCAAUAGUGAUAAUAGCAAAUCUUACAUUAAUUUGUCUAGUCUGAGUAACUCAGAUAUUGAUGGUUGUGUAAUUGUUAUGUUGGUGCAUAAAUAGGAUGUGACAUAAUUUGACAUCAUAGUAUUUGAAGCGCAGAUAUCAUAAAAUCAUGUUGCAGAGAAAAUAUCCAGUCUGUCUGAUCUGGGACUGUGCUUAGAAGGGAGUGACUUGCAGUAAUCUUGUGUACCCUAAGUGAGGUUUACAUUAAAGUCAUUGAGCUUUGAAAUCUCCCUUCACUAAGUUUUAAAAUGAACCAGCCAACUUUUAGUAGGAAAGAACAACUAUAAGAGACAGGGUCCUGUUGCAAAAUUCAGAUAGAGAUUCAGAACACCCCAAAGUUCAGGGGGUUUGGGGUUUGGGAUUUAGGCUUGAUCCAUUACUGUAUAAUCAUAGAGGUCACUUGCAAAAUUCAGUUCUAGAUGUGAAUUUAAAACACCCCAAAAGUUUGGGAUUGCUUGCAUCCAGGUGUUCAGUUUGGGCCCAUUUAAAUAUAGGGGCCAUUUGUGAAAUUCAGAGUCAGGUCAGAGUUUGUCUUUCUAACAUAAAUUAGGCAUGUCAGAUCCGGGGAUUUGGUUUAUGCCCAUCUCUAAGCACAUCAUGCAUUUUUCUCUGAAUUGGACUCUAUUCAUUACAGUAUGUGUGCCUCUACUUCCAGACAUCAAGGGUGCGAUUGUCCAAAGCUUUGGCCUAUCUCUGCUCCCACUGAAGUCAGUGGAGUCCAUCAUUGACUUCACUGGGAGCAGAGAGAGACCAAUACUGAGUGCUUUUGAAAAUCCCCCCCUAAACCUUGCAUACCCUAACCAUAAAACAUCUGGAAGACAGAAGCAUUCUGUAUCAGACAUCUGUAAUUUUUCAAUAAAAGUUACAGAGCUGGAUGGAUUCAGACCACUAUAAUUAUCCACUGAAAGCAAUUGCUAGAAUGUGGUUAGGAAGAGUGGCAUCUAGCCUAUAUAUAUAUAUAAAACAGUAACUUCUCCCAUCAGGUGCACUAUGCACAUUCAACAAAUCAGCACUUCUAUGGACCUGUGUGCCUUGUAAGAUAUUGAAAAAGCAAUGAGACAAGCUUAGAUCAGACUUGGGAAGGCCUUCCUUUGGGACAUAUCGGAGAGUGGGUGGGAACCGUGGACACAGGUAGUUACCUACCAGGUGGAGGAAAGAAGGGGACUACUAAUCAGACAAGUCUACAGCAAUGUGAUCAACAGCACAGCAAUGAAAUGGGUUCGUCCCAGAGUUCACACCAUGUUUGUCACCCAAAUGGUCAUGAUUUUGCACGUAUCUGUACUGGAAUUCAGCGGCAGGGAGACAGUGAGAAGACAAAGCUGAAAGUAAUUUUGACAGAUAUUAUUUGAGAAAUGGAAAACAUUCCCAGAGCAGUAAAAUGGAAAGGGUCACAUAUGAAUGAUGCAAGGUUCAAUUCUUUGAGGAUUAAAGCAAAGAACGAGCAAGGAUUGUGCCUAAAAAAGGACACUCUUCAUACACCAUGUGUGCUCCUUGUAUCUUUGCAUUGUGCUUGUGUGAUCUUUGCGCUGUUCCUAAUAUGGGUUGCAAAGCAGCCGCUGAAUUCUCUGUAUUUUAAAAUUAAAUGAAAUGUUUGGAUCACUCUUUCACACACAAUCACGCAUGCACAUACAGGUGGAUAAAAUCAAUUACCCAUUAACUUCUAAUCAAGAUAAAUAAGCCAUUUGUAUUCCUUGUUUCACUUGGGAUAUGUCUGCAGAGCAACUAGACCCCCCACGGCAGGCCAAUGCCAGCUGGCUUGGGCUGACAGGGCUCGAGCUGCAGGGCUGUUUCAUUGUUGUUUCGAUGUCUGGGCUCGAGCUGCAGCCCUGGCUCUAGGACCCUGCGAGGUGAGCAGGUUCCGGAGCCUGGGCUCCAGCCCGAGCCUGGAAGUCUACACAACAAUGAAGCAGCCCCAGCCCUGUGAACCUGAGUCAGCUGGCAUUGGCCUGCUGCGG